AUUGUUCGCUGGCGGCAUGCCUUACACAUGCAAGUCGAACGGCAGCACGGAGCUUGCUCUGGUGGCGAGUGGCGAACGGGUGAGUAAUAUAUCGGAACGUACCCUAGAGUGGGGGAUAACGUAGCGAAAGUUACGCUAAUACCGCAUACGAUCUAAGGAUGAAAGUGGGGGAUCGCAAGACCUCAUGCUCGUGGAGCGGCCGAUAUCUGAUUAGCUAGUUGGUAGGGUAAAAGCCUACCAAGGCAUCGAUCAGUAGCUGGUCUGAGAGGACGACCAGCCACACUGGAACUGAGACACGGUCCAGACUCCUACGGGAGGCAGCAGUGGGGAAUUUUGGACAAUGGGCGAAAGCCUGAUCCAGCAAUGCCGCGUGAGUGAAGAAGGCCUUCGGGUUGUAAAGCUCUUUUGUCAGGGAAGAAACGGUGGGAGCUAAUAUCUCUUGCUAAUGACGGUACCUGAAGAAUAAGCACCGGCUAACUACGUGCCAGCAGCCGCGGUAAUACGUAGGGUGCAAGCGUUAAUCGGAAUUACUGGGCGUAAAGCGUGCGCAGGCGGUUUUGUAAGUCUGAUGUGAAAUCCCCGGGCUCAACCUGGGAAUUGCAUUGGAGACUGCAAGGCUAGAAUCUGGCAGAGGGGGGUAGAAUUCCACGUGUAGCAGUGAAAUGCGUAGAUAUGUGGAGGAACACCGAUGGCCGAAGGCAGCCCCCUGGGUCAAGAUUGACGCUCAUGCACGAAAGCGUGGGGAGCAAACAGGAUUAGAUACCCUGGUAGUCCACGCCCUAAACGAUGUCUACUAGUUGUCGGGUCUUAAUUGACUUGGUAACGCAGCUAACGCGUGAAGUAGACCGCCUGGGGAGUACGGUCGCAAGAUUAAAACUCAAAGGAAUUGACGGGGACCCGCACAAGCGGUGGAUGAUGUGGAUUAAUUCGAUGCAACGCGAAAAACCUUACCUACCCUUGACAUGGCUGGAAUCCUUGAGAGAUCAGGGAGUGCUCGAAAGAGAACCAGUACACAGGUGCUGCAUGGCUGUCGUCAGUUCGUGUCGUGAGAUGUUGGGUUAAGUCCCGCAACGAGCGCAACCCUUGUCAUUAGUUGCUACGAAAGGGCACUCUAAUGAGACUGCCGGUGACAAACCGGAGGAAGGUGGGGAUGACGUCAAGUCCUCAUGGCCCUUAUGGGUAGGGCUUCACACGUCAUACAAUGGUACAUACAGAGCGCCGCCAACCCGCGAGGGGGAGCUAAUCGCAGAAAGUGUAUCGUAGUCCGGAUUGUAGUCUGCAACUCGACUGCAUGAAGUUGGAAUCGCUAGUAAUCGCGGAUAAACAUGUCGCGGUGAAUACGUUCCCGGGUCU
Molecule: ribosomal RNA, 1353 nt
Filed under: uncultured bacterium
Lineage: Bacteria
Description: bacterial SSU rRNA
Rfam family: Bacterial small subunit ribosomal RNA
Source: RNAcentral